AUGCACCCUUCGUAUUGCGCCGCAUUUCAUGGGCAUUCGUUGGCAUGUUGGCUCGUGCACUUCCACCGCUGCUCCUCGUCCUCACUUGAGCUCAUGGGCUCUUUCGGGUCCACCAUGGGAGAGAAGGGCCUGGCGGUCAGUUGCGUGUCUUGUCUGUUCCUCCCGCAGCCCCUCUUCCCAUUGGAAAGAUCCCCUGCCUUCGAAAACGCCACCUUUUCGCUUCUUGUGGAGCCCAGCCCAUGGCCUCCCCACCCAGCGAUAAGGAUGGGCGGCAUUGAGGAGUCCACCCUGUCAGAUCCAGAGUCCAGCAAGCUGGCGCAGAGGCUGAACAACAAGCCCGGCAGAGAGGAGAAGAGGGCCGGCCUGGCGCAGCGCAGGGGCCGGCAGAGGGGGGGCACCCGGCCGGUGUGCAGGGGCUGCUACUCUGGGCUGAUGAUUGUAGCCCCUCCAGGCCCAGAAGGCAACCACAGCAGCACCCAGGAGAGCCACUCGGAGUCUGCCUGGGAGUCCAGCGAAGAAGACUGACCUGUGCCUCCCGCCCCAUGGCCGGGCCAUCCUCCUCCUCCUCCCCUGAGACCCAAGUCCCUGACCGACACGGAGUGCUUGCUCUGGGUGCCGUCAGGUGUGGCACAGAGGUUUCCAAAUCAAUAAAAACACGACACUGUCUGUCUGUCCGUCCGUC
RNAcentral lists this long non-coding RNA (682 nucleotides) under Pogona vitticeps (central bearded dragon). Its description in RNAcentral is "lncRNA (ENSPVIG00000021126.1)". Lineage: Eukaryota; Metazoa; Chordata; Lepidosauria; Squamata; Agamidae. The record is from RNAcentral.